GGAGUUGAUAAAAAAGUUAAUUUGAACAUUGAUAAUUUUCAAAACCUAUUUGUAUUGUUGAUAAUCAUGGAACAGUUUCAAUCCUUGUGCUCUCCUUUAAAGGAUAAGUGCAAGACCUGUUCGUACGAGUCACGCACAUUCAACUGCAACCAAUUCUAGAACUGUUGUGGGGACAAAUGUUGUGAACAUAUAGAGGAACUUUAUCAACAGUGGUACUUUUGAGGAGAGUGAGUAAUCGCACCCCUUCCCCUCGGUCAUUGUCAACGAAGUCGUUGUCACAGCAAAACCUCACUAGAUGGGCGACACCACAGGAUAAUUCCGGAAGCACCAACAAAAAGAAACCUACAGCUGCACCAAAAAUAAAAACUAGACUAUGUAAUAAUCUCACAGAAUGCAUAUUGGUGACAUUUCUUUAUUUAAAUGUGUUAAAAUUUAGCCAUCAUUAAAUUUAUUUUGAUGAUCAUGAACAAACACUGAAUUGAAAAUGAUAAAUACUUAAAAAGUUGUGAA
Molecule: long non-coding RNA, 510 nt
Organism: Mya arenaria
Lineage: Eukaryota; Metazoa; Mollusca; Bivalvia; Myida; Myidae
Exons: 4
Source: RefSeq, a predicted model, not a curated record